This 465-nucleotide ribosomal RNA is filed under the name Vreelandella stevensii. RNAcentral describes it as "partial 16S ribosomal RNA". It matches the Rfam family "Bacterial small subunit ribosomal RNA", at positions 338 to 795 of the family's 1533-position model. Lineage: Bacteria; Pseudomonadati; Pseudomonadota; Gammaproteobacteria; Oceanospirillales; Halomonadaceae. The record is from RNAcentral.
CCUACGGGAGGCAGCAGUGGGGAAUAUUGGACAAUGGGCGAAAGCCUGAUCCAGCCAUGCCGCGUGUGUGAAGAAGGCCUUCGGGUUGUAAAGCACUUUCAGUGGGGAAGAAAGCCUUGGGGCUAAUACCCUCGAGGAAGGACAUCACCCACAGAAGAAGCACCGGCUAACUCAGUGCCAGCAGCCGCGGUAAUACGGAGGGUGCGAGCGUUAAUCGGAAUUACUGGGCGUAAAGCGCGCGUAGGCGGUCUGAUAAGCCGGUUGUGAAAGCCCCGGGCUCAACCUGGGAACGGCAUCCGGAACUGUCAGGCUAGAGUGCAGGAGAGGAAGGUAGAAUUCCCGGUGUAGCGGUGAAAUGCGUAGAGAUCGGGAGGAAUACCAGUGGCGAAGGCGGCCUUCUGGACUGACACUGACGCUGAGGUGCGAAAGCGUGGGUAGCAAACAGGAUUAGAUACCCGAGUAGUC